AUUGAACGCUGGCGGCAUGCUUUACACAUGCAAGUCGAACGGUAACAGGUUAAGCUGACGAGUGGCGAACGGGUGAGUAAUGCAUCGGAACGUGCCCGGUCGUGGGGGAUAACGCAGCGAAAGCUGCGCUAAUACCGCAUACGAUCUAAGGAUGAAAGCGGGGGACCGUAAGGCCUCGCGCGAUCGGAGCGGCCGAUGUCAGAUUAGGUAGUUGGUGGGGUAAAGGCUCACCAAGCCAACGAUCUGUAGCUGGUCUGAGAGGACGACCAGCCACACUGGGACUGAGAGACGGCCCAGACUCCUACGGGAGGCAGCAGUGGGGAAUUUUGGACAAUGGGCGAAAGCCUGAUCCAGCAAUGCCGCGUGCAGGAAGAAGGCCUUCGGGUUGUAAACUGCUUUUGUACGGAGCGAAAGGGUCUCCUCUAAUACAGGGGGCUCAUGACGGUACCGUAAGAAUAAGCACCGGCUAACUACGUGCCAGCCGCCGCCGUAA
RNAcentral lists this ribosomal RNA (493 nucleotides) under uncultured bacterium. RNAcentral describes it as "partial 16S ribosomal RNA". It matches the Rfam family "Bacterial small subunit ribosomal RNA", at positions 29 to 523 of the family's 1533-position model. The record is from RNAcentral.